AUACGUAGGUGACAAGCGUUAUCCGGAUUUACUGGGCGUAAAGGGCGUGUAGGCGGUCUUGCAAGUCAGAAGUGAAAUUCCUGAGCUCAACUCGGGCGCUGCUUCUGAAACUGCAGGACUUGAGUGCUGGAGGGGAUAGCGGAAUUCCUAGUGGAGCGGUAAAAUGCGCAGAUAUUAGGAAGAACACCGGUGGCGAAGGCGGCUAUCUGGACAGUAACGGACGCUGAGGCGCGAAAGCGUGGGGAGCAAACAGGAUUAGAUACCCGGGUAGUCCACGCCGUAAACGAUGAAUACUAGGUGUAGGGGGUAUCGACUCCCUCUGUGCCGCAGUUAACACAAUAAGUAUUCCGCCUGGGGAGUACGGCCGCAAGGUUGAAACUCAAAUGAAUUGACGGGG
Molecule: ribosomal RNA, 397 nt
Filed under: uncultured bacterium
Lineage: Bacteria
Description: partial 16S ribosomal RNA
Rfam family: Bacterial small subunit ribosomal RNA
Source: RNAcentral